UCCCCUUCCUUCCUUGGCCAUAGCACCUUUAAGAUGGAGAAAUUUUACACAUGUAUUAUUAUAUACCUUUCCUUAAAAUAUAUAUCAGGCCGGGCGCGGUGGCUCAAGCCUGUAA
Long non-coding RNA from Sapajus apella (tufted capuchin), 115 nucleotides. RefSeq lists it as uncharacterized. The record is from RefSeq and is a predicted model, not a curated record. Lineage: Eukaryota; Metazoa; Chordata; Mammalia; Primates; Cebidae. The transcript has 3 exons.